This 426-nucleotide ribosomal RNA is filed under the name uncultured bacterium. RNAcentral describes it as "bacterial SSU rRNA". It matches the Rfam family "Bacterial small subunit ribosomal RNA", at positions 8 to 419 of the family's 1533-position model. The record is from RNAcentral.
AGAGUUUGAUCCUGGCUCAGAACGAACGCUGGCGGCGUGCCUAACACAUGCAAGUCGAACGGAGUGAAGGAGCUUGCUCUUUCAUUUAGUGGCGCACGGGUGAGUAACGCGUAGAUAAUCUGCCUUGGACUCUGGGAUAACAUCUCGAAAGGGGUGCUAAUACCGGAUAAGCCCACGAUGGCGUAAGUCAUUGCGGGAAAAGGGGGCCUCUGAAUAUGCUCCUGAUUCAAGAUGAGUCUGCGUACCAUUAGCUAGUUGGUAGGGUAAGAGCCUACCAAGGCGACGAUGGUUAGCUGGUCUGAGAGGAUGAUCAGCCACACUGGAACUGAGACACGGUCCAGACUCCUACGGGAGGCAGCAGUGGGGAAUUUUGCGCAAUGGGGGAAACCCUGACGCAGCAACGCCGCGUGAGUGAUGAAGGCUUUC